This 359-nucleotide unclassified non-coding RNA is filed under the name soil metagenome. RNAcentral's name for it is "partial contains 5.8S ribosomal RNA, internal transcribed spacer 2, and large subunit ribosomal RNA". The stretch from base 1 to 120 matches the Rfam family "5.8S ribosomal RNA", at positions 35 to 154 of the family's 154-position model. The record is from RNAcentral.
GAUGAAGAACGUAGCGAAAUGCGAUAAGUAAUGUGAAUUGCAGAAUUCAGUGAAUCAUCGAAUCUUUGAACGCACAUUGCGCCCGCCAGUAUUCUGGCGGGCAUGCCUGUCCGAGCGUCAUUUCAACCCUCGGGCCCCCCUCUGCGGGCGGCCCGGCGUUGGGGCUCAGGCGCCGUCUCUGCUCGGCGCCUGUCCCCUAAAUGCAGUGGCGGCCUCGCCGCUGCCUCCUCCGCGUAGUAGCACAAACCUCGCGGCUGGAAGGCGGCGCGGCCACGCCGUAAAACCCCCCAACUUUACCAAGGUUGACCUCGGAUCAGGUAGGAAUACCCGCUGAACUUAAGCAUAUCAAUAACGGAGGA